RNAcentral lists this long non-coding RNA (21912 nucleotides) under Phaseolus vulgaris (common bean). RNAcentral describes it as "long non-coding RNA (PVUL_LNC001460)". Lineage: Eukaryota; Viridiplantae; Streptophyta; Magnoliopsida; Fabales; Fabaceae. The record is from RNAcentral.
CGGGACCCACCUGGCUGCCCGAUGCCCAGUCAACCUGACCGAGACUAGGGGAACCCGACCGAGACCUUAGGAGACUUGGCCGAGAGGCCGAGACCUUAGAAGACUUGGCCGAGAGGCCGAGAGGCCGAGACCUUGGGAGACUUGAGCCGAGAGGCCGAGAGGCUGAGACCUUAGAAGACUUGGCCGACAGGCCGAGACCUUGGGAGACUUGCGCCGAAAGGCCGAGACCUUAAAAGACUUAACUAAGACGACCGAGACCACAAGGAUUUGGCCGAUGGCCGACCCACACCAUGGGAACUUGGCCGAUGGCCGAACCCUAUUACAAUUAACGCUCAAACCAAGAUCAGUAAAGCUAAUCCAUCAUCAAGAAUUAGGUAAUGCAAUCCUAAGCGGUAUCCACCUCGAUAAACGGGCCCAACAAGGUAGGCCCAUUAGAAUAAUAUAAAUAGCACACACUCCAAGGAGAAAGGUAUGUCAUUUAUUACUGUCCACUUACCUAAGAGCUGACCACCCGCUUUACUGACUUGAGCGUCGGAGUGCCUUCGCAGGUACCCCCACCAUCCGGUGUUCACCCGACGACCAAGUCCCGAGUGCCGAAGGAUAAGCAGGAAGACGAGAAGAAUCCCAGUUCAUCACCCAGUCACCUGCCCGACCGAAGGAAGGAGAAGUAGACUUCAAUAGUUCUCUAGGUCUCAUCUCCCUAGCAGGAACAUAUACAUUGGAGAGAUAUGCUCCAUAUAAUUCGCUACUCCAUGUGUUAUGUCUAUCUAUUUAUCUACAAUUAUACCAAUCUAUUACCUUAUAUUUACCACAUAUAAUAUACAUUAAUACACUUUCUAUGUACAUUUAUAUGAAAAAUAUAAUAAUUUUAAUAAAACCAAACUGAGUUGAGUAUCUGAUUAUUCAUGUGAAAUACAACUUUCACAGUGAAAUACAACCUAUCAAUAUAAGUUUAAAUAAUAAUAAAAAAUCCUUGUAUAAAAAAUCUUCCUUUUAUCAUGUCAUUUUUUAGCGUUGAUUUUAUAUAAUCUCUAAAGCGGGUUGAAGCAGUCAAGUUAAAUCUCCAAAUUUAAGAAUUUGUUAUGAUUGUGAAAUAAAUUUAAGUGUUUCAUUUCAAAGAAAAUUAGCAUUUUUCUUUCAACACUUAUAGAUGGUGAUGGUAAUAACCAAUUAUUGAUCCAUUGACCAAACUAUUAGGAGAGUGAACGUAACUUAUGGCGUUAGAGAAAUUUUCCCUCCUUAAAAAAUCAUUAGUUUACCUUUAUACAAAAAUUUGUCAAUUAAAACAUUUCAAAUUGAUGAAACACGUGUGAGAAAAAUUAUUAACAAUGUUGAAAAGAUUUUUUUUCUCUAAAUUUAUUCUACUCUACUAAACUAGAAAGUAAUUCAAAUUAUAUAAUAUUGUUCUUAUCGAAAAGGAUUAUUUCUCUUGUUAAGUAGAAAGAGUGAAGUUAUUGGGAAGCCAAGCUUAUCUUCUGAUAUAUGAACACCGAGAAAAACAAGGAAAGAUCAAUUUGUAAAAGAUUUUCAACACUCAAAUCAGUCAAAAUUAUUAAAAAUAUAAAUUAUAUUCUCAAACACUCACUUACAUUUGUCGUGGAUUAAUUUGACACAAAAAUAAACUUCUUAUGUUAGGUAAAAAGUCGAACAUAAAAUUAUACUUUCGCAUCUACGUUAAACUUUUAUGUAACGUAAUUUAUCCUAGAAAUCGGACGUAAAAGAUUUUUUUUACUAGUAAGAAGACACCAAAAAACUUUGAAAUUUUUUUAUCAGCAAAAUAAAAUUAUGUGUUUCUUUUUAAUAUAGUAAUAUAAGAUAUCUAGAAACCACAUCUUCAAUAAAAAAAACUUUAAUAAGAUAAUAAAUUUAUGAAUUUUUUUUAUCCUUAUAUUUAUAUAUUGUUUAUCUUACUAUUAUAAUGCAAUGUAGGAUUUUUAACUUAUUGAAUUUCUAACAAAUUGUAGACUAAAAGUUAUAAAUAGUAACUUUCAAUGACCAAGUUUACAGAAAAAUUAAUAUAGCUUGCAAGGUUCUCUCUUUUAACACUUGUUUCAAUUUUUUUUUUAUCAAUAAUAAAUAAAUUAAAUUAAAAUAAGAUAUUCUAGAAAUGUAUCAACCUUUCUACAUUAACAAUUGCAAAUCUAUUCUAACCUACGCUUCUUGCUUCAAGUAUUUAAUUAUAACCUUUUUUGUGUCUAUUAGGAGAAACUUAUUUAACUAGUAAUAAAUUUUGGAAAGUCAAAUUCCUCAUAAAUAAACGUUAAAUACCUAAUCAUUAUAUUUGGAUUUUGUAUUUUAGUAUCUUAUUUUGGUAUGUAAUUUUUUAGGUAAUGUAAUGUAAGAUGUGUUGGAUCAUUUGCUGGUUUGGAAGCAAAGAUACUUAUUUUAGUUUUUUUUUUUUAUAAAGAAUUGGAACAUUUUGAAUUAUUUUAUUUUAUUUAUUUAUUGUUGAUAAAAAAAAUUGGAUUAACGCAGAAAAUUAAAUAUACUUUGUUGAAAUAUACUUUAAAGGAGGUGAACGAUGAAGGCAACAUGUUUUGUGGCUUUUGUGAGUUAAUCAAACGUGUUACCGUCUUUCUUGACCUAUAACUUGUUCCUGAGAAUAAAGUACCCACAUGUAGCAUGCAAAGAAUGAUUUUGUUAGCCAUGCAUACGAAGAAAAAGUCUUCUAAAAUAACAAAUAAUUUCAAUUUAAAAAAUAGUUAUGAAUAUAUUACCACUUGAUUUGAGACGAGUUGAAUAUUUUAAUAUACAAAUUAAAGUAAAACAUAUAUUUAUCAACUUUUUUAAUUUUUGCGCGUCUUUUUCACUUUAGAAUUAUGAUGUUCCUUUAAUUACAUGGAAAGCUAAGUCAAUGAAGUAACGUAUAUGCAUGCUAGAGAUAUUGCAGCUAGCUUUAUUCCACUCAAGAAAGCAUGAACUUUAUAUAAAGAAGGAACUAAAAUAAUAUUACAGAAAUUUCUCUUAUAAGUUUUUCAAUUCAAAAUCAUUUUUUUCUACCAUCAAUAAAUACUUUUUUUUAAUGACAAUUGCAUUUCAUAUGAAUUUAAUUGAAACUAUACUGCAAAUGUUUUACUUAUGUAAUUACAAUAUAUAUUAUAUGUUAAAUUGUGAACUUUUAUGAUACUAUCUAAAAAGUUAUUUUGGAAUUAUUUUUAAUUAGUUGACGUAGUAAAAGUUUUCACGUUGAUAAAGAAUAAGGUUGUCUAAAUUGUUUAUGGCCGAUAAAAAAAAAUUAUGAGAAAAAAUAUCACAAUCAUUAUUAAAAUACUGUAGAUAUAUUUUAUUUUAUUUUUCCGAAAUUUGAAAGCAAGAUUGUGUAUCCUUUUCUGUAGAAUAAUUUUCAUAUGAAAAUAAGUUAAUGUGUUUUUAAAAUAUCUAACAAAAUUUAAGUCUUUGUGAUAUGUGCUUCUUGUAAUUUUUACUGUUAAUUGUAGAUUAAGUACUUUUUUUGUCCUAUUAUUUAUCUAUUAUUCAAUUUCGUCUUUUUAUUAAGAAAAAUUUCAAUUAAAUCUCUCAAUUUUUAAAGACGUAAUAAUGUGAUAUUUUUCAGCCAAUCAUUACUAAAAUUGUUAACGAACAAGUAUUGCUACUUUUUGUAUGGUUUAAAAAAUUACACGGGGGUAGUUUUAGCUAUAAUAUAUAGGAUUUGGGUUUUGAAUUUUAUUUAUGGGAUAUGAAUUUGUAUGUUUGUAGUUGUGAGAUCCUACUAAACAAUUGUAAAAAGGAUUGGAGCACCUAAUAUUUUUUUUAAUCUAUUUAUUUUUUGAUGUUGAUAAAAAACAAAACAAAUAUUGAAGAUUUUAAAUUAUACAAAUAUAAUUUUUAAUCAACGCAUAAUAAAAAAUAGUGGUUAUGGUAAAUAGUUUUUUUAUGUUGAGAUGUUUCUUAAAUAUCUCUAUUUAUUCAAUUCAUUUUUUAUUAACAAAAAAUACAAUAUAAAAAGAUAAAAAAAAAAGAAAAAGAAAGCUUAACCCAAAAUUAUAUUAUAUAUAAUAUACAUAAUAAAUCUAUUAUAUAAAAUUUAUCUUUCAUAAUUCAUUCCCGAACUAAAGAAUUAUACUAAUCAACCAACUAUAAUUAAAGUCUCUACCUACAUUGACUAUAACUAAAUGAAAUCAUAAUGUCUCAUACUAAAAUAUCUUAACCAUAUCAAAGUGUUUUUUUUCUACCAACAACCUUAGCUUAAUGAAGUCAAGUUAAUUAAUUUGGUAAUGUUAAUUGAGCGCUACACAAGAAUUUUCUUCAACUUCUCGUGACAUAAUAUUUUAAUAUAUGUCAUUUAAAUUAUGAGAAAAAUUAUCUAUGAUAUCUCAUUUAAAUAAUAUUUAUUUUUCUUAAUAUCAUAAUCACUACUUAUUAAACUAUCAUCCUAAAUAUUUAUCUUUCUAAUUCAAUCAAAUCAUAACAUAACUCAAUUCAAGUCAUUUAUAUAACUUCAACGAGAUACUAAUCCUCACCAAAUGAAAGAAAAUGAUUAACUCUUCAUUGCUGAAUAUGUGAACUCAACUUGAGACUCUUAAAAGAGAGUUGGUACAAUUUUUCUUUUGCUCAAGUCACAAGUAAUAGUUUUCAAUGUUUAACAUUUUUAAUUGAGUAACCAAUGUGAACUUAAGUGAUAAUACUUUGUUGCAACAAUAAAUUUCAUCACUUAAGUAUCAAUUGAGUGACCAGUUCGAUGCUCCAACGCAAGAUAUGCAUAUAACAAUAAAAUACAAAAAAUUCCCAAACAACUUCGAAACAAUUUUCCUCAAUUCAAAUCUACUAACUUAGCUUUAAGGAAAACAAUACACUAUCCAAAUAGAUAUGUAUCGAUUUUUUCAUAACACCUUUGGUUUUCAUUCUACAAUCCCUAAAAUAACAUCAACAUCAAUUGCACAUUCAAUUCAACCAAAGGAAACCGAAGCAAUUCCAAUUAUUUCAUAAUACACCAUGUAAACCACUUGACAUUUUCUAUCAUUAUCAUUAUUUUAAACUAAAGUUGUCAUCGUCCUCUCCAAUUCAAUUCAAAUAAAAGUUUAAGUUAGUUUCCCUUAUUUGGAGGUAGCUUAGUCUUAUACAAACUUAACUUAACUACAAAACUUAAAAAAUAAAUUUCUAAAUAACAUUCAAAGAAAUUAAAGCAUUAUCUUAAUCUAACAAAAGUUCUUAUUAUCAGUUGAUUUCGGACUAGGAAAUUUCGCAAGGAAAUUACAAAACUUAGAGAAAUGAGGAACCCACCUAGAUUAAGAUUCUAUUAGGAUGAAUUCCAUCUAAUCUUCCCCACCUUUUGCAAUGGUUAAUCCAAAAACUUAGAGAGAAUAUGGAUGACUUAAGGUUUUAGAGAUAAUUUAUUUUAUAAUAAAUUAAGAAUAUAAUGUUUUGAAUAUAUAUAUAUAUAUAUAUAUAUAUAUAUAUAUAUAUAUACUAUAUAUAUAUAUAUNNNNNNNNNNNNNNNNNNNNNNNNNNNNNNNNNNNNNNNNNNNNNNNNNNNNNNNNNNNNNNNNNNNNNNNNNNNNNNNNNNNNNNNNNNNNNNNNNNNNUAUAUAUUGUUAUAUAUAUAUAUAUAUAUAUAUAUAUAUAUAUAUAUAUAUAAAUCUUUCUAUAAAUACAUUUUCAAUCUCUAUUAACUUUAAGCUUUAUUUUAUAAACUCAAAUAAAUUACUUCUUACAUAUACAUAAUAUCUAAAAUUUGAAAUUAUAGCUACUAAUUAAAUGUAAAUGAACUCUUAUAUUCUUUAAGAAAAUGGAAAGAAAAAUCACUUAGAAAAAGUUUUAACGACAACUAAAAACCCUUCUAAUAAUAAUCUGGGAAUUGUCACUAAAAUCUAAGGUUUUGUUGUACUAUUUGAUAUUUACAACAAUACUUGUAAUUUAAGUGUUGUUUUAUGUGCUGUGCAUAUGAAGAUGAUUUUGUAUUCAAGUUAGUUAUGCAUCAUUCUUUUAAUCAAUUAAGUAUGUGGAAGCAUGAUGAUUUUUACUAUAAUUGGUGUGAAAUUCAUAAUUGAUGCGUAUUUUAUCAUAAUUACCAUUAUAUUAUUUUUUAUUAAGAGUUAAAUAUGAUUUUUUAUUUAGGUAAUCAUAAAUUUUAAUGGUUUUCUUACUACAAAUAUUCAAGUUGUUCAAAGUUUUAAUCACUACAAAAAAAAUCAAUAUUAUCUAUGGAUUUUUACCUACGAAUCUGAGUCCGUAGGUAAAUUCAGCAUUACCUACGAUAUUACCUAUGAACAACAUUACCUACGGACAUUACCCACAAAUUCUGAAUUCAUAGGUAAAUUCAGCAUUACCUACCAGCUAUUACCCACGGAUCUUAUUACCUACCACUUUUAACCUACGCAUCUCUAUUACCUAUUAACUAUUACCCACGAAUCUUUAUUACCUACGAAUUAUCACUCACGGAUCUCUAUUACCUAUCAACUAUUAUCAUAGAAACUAUAUACAAAAUAUUAAAAAUAUUAAUAUAAUAUGAAAAAUUAUAAAAUCAUAAUUAAUAUUCAUAAAUAAUAAUAACCAUAACUAAUUUAUACAUAUUAUUAAUAUUAUAAAAUUAAUAAUAUUAAUCUAAUAAUUUAAAUAAUAUAAUUAGUAUUAUAUUAAUAAUAUGAAUAAUAUUAAUAAUAAUAAUAAUAAUAUUAAUGAUAUUAACAAAAUUAAUAAUAUUAGUAAUAAUAACAUUAAUAAUAUAAAUACUAUUAAUAAAAAUAUAUAUAAAAUUAGCAUUAUUUAUAAUAUUAAUAAUAUUAACACUAUUUAUAAUAUUUAAAAAUAUUAAUAAUAUUAAAUUAUUAAUAACAUUAAUAAAGAUUUAAUAAUAUUAAUAAAGAUUUAAUAAUAUUAAUAAAUAUUUAAUAAUAUUAAUAUUAUUUAAUAAUAUUAAUCAUAUUUAAUAAUAUUAAUCAUAUUUAAUAAUAUUAAUAAUAUUAAUAAUAUUAAUCAUAUUUAAUAAUAUUAAUAAUAUUUAAUAAUAUUUAAUAAUAUUAAUAAUAUUUAAUAAUAUUAAUAAUAUUUAAUAAUAUUAAUAAUAUUACAACUAUUUAAUAAUAUUAAUAAUAUUUAAUAAUAUUACAAUUAUUUAAUAAUAUUAAUAAUAUUUAGUAAUAUUAAUUAUAUUAAUAAUAUUUAAUAAUAUUAAUAAUAUUAAUUAUAUUAAUAAUAUUAAUUAUAUUAAUAAUAUUAAUUAUAUUAAUUAUAUUAAUAAUAUUAAUAUUGAUAAUCAUACUCAUAAGUAUAAUAAUAAUCAUAACAUGACAACAAAACUUGACUGAUGACAUUACUCAAGGGACUUGACUUCGAGUCUGAUCUAUUGUACAUUACAUACAGAUUUUGGCUAUUAUCUACUGAUUUCUUCCGUAGAUAAAUUGAAUUUUUCUUUCUAGUGAAUAGAGACAGAAGUAUAUUUUGCUUAUAGUAUAGGAAAAAAAAUAUUUAACUCUUUAAUAAUGUUAGUUUCAUUUUAUAAUAUUAAUUAAAUCAAUUUACAUAAAUCAAAUUAUAAUAUUUUCCUAAAAUUUUUUUAUAAUGGCAAUUAUAAAACAAUCAUAAUUAUAUAUUAUUCAUUUUAUUUUAAAAAAUGUCACUUUUCACAAUAAUUCUCCAUAAUUAUCCUAAAAUAUUGUUAUUAAUUUCAAAUUUUACACUAGUAAAAUAACAUGUGAAUUAGAAGUGCACUUGUGUAAAGCUGAAUAAAAAAUGUGUUUGUGUUUUUACUUAAAAAUGUGCUUGAUUUAUACAUAACCCAUAACGUUUUAACUAACCUAUAAAUUUAAAAUAAAUAUAAAAAAAAAUACUUUUUUUGUUCUACAAGGAAGAAAACAAAUUGUGUCUAAGUAGUAUUAAAAGUUGUUCGAGUGAGACUAUCAAUAAAUUCGUAAAAUACAUGUCAUUAAUUGGAAGAGAAAGAUUAUAUAUAAUAACUAUUUUUUUCAAAAAGAAUGAUUCAAUUAAGUAAUUAAUUAAAAAAUAAUUAAUGUUUAACCGGUCCAAGUUUGCAUAAAAUAAUAGAGAAAUCCAAUUAAAAAAAAGUCAUAUUUUUAAAUGAUUAAAAUUAAAACGCGUUAGGCCAUGUUAGCCUUUAGACACUAUCCCAAAAGUAUACCCAAUAAUAAUUUGCUGUCAAUUAAGCAUCUUCUACAGUUGUGGCUUGAAAACACUUUUUGGAAUCGCUUAUUCGUACUACUUUCGGGCAAAAAAAAUAGACUUAAUCAUUAUAAUAUCACGCAUAGUCGGUUCAAAACUAAUCUAAUAAUCAAUUGUCAAACGCGAUUUUUGUUUCCUUUUUAAUAUUUCUUUGUUCUUUUUGACUUAACAGUACACCUAUCUUUCUUUAAACAUCUAAAUGAGACAAGAAACCCAAAGAAAAAAUGCAAAUAAAAAAGACUAUUGUACAAUUUGUAAACAAAAAUAAUAAUUUGCUCUCUGCAUUGCCAAAUUCGACAUAUAAAAAUCCCUCUCUACGCGCUUUGAUUAUUUAUAUUCCAUUAAUUAUGGCAUCAAUCAUGAAAUAACUUGGAAAGUCUUAGUUAUAGUAGGUUUAAAAAAUCACUUCUACUGUAACAAGUCAAAGUCAAAUAUUCUAUCUUGUAGUUUUUUUUAUAAUAAAUUGUAACUUUGUCUCCAAUAAUGAAUGAAAUAAUAAAUUGUGAUAUUUUAGAAAUAUUAAGUUGUUCACAAUCAACUUUUCUUCCUAUCAUAAAUUAUAUUAAACAUAUGAUAUUGCAAAUUAAUAUAAUAUUAGAAUUUGUUAAAUUCUUAUAAAAGAUUAGAGGAUUCAUAUACAUUGUAUAUAUAAAAGAGAAUACAAAUUUCAUUUGAGUCAAUUUUAUAAAAUUAAAUUAAAUUUAAAAUUUAUAUUUUAAUAUAAUAUUAAACUAAUUUAGAGUUUGUUAAUUUUAUCAACAACUUGCUAUCUAAACACCUAUAAAUUUAUAUGUCAUGUUUUUUUAUCAAUAAUAAAUAAAAAAAAAUAAAAUGAGACAUUUUAAGGGUGUCACAAUCUUUAUACAAAAAACCCAAAACAAGUUUUCUAGCACCCAACCAAUUAAGGAUCUAACAUACACUACACUACAAUAACCAAAAUAAUAUAUCAGAUCAAGAGAUAGAAACCCAACAAAUAUAAUUACAUCAACCCAUCAAAGAGAUCAAACCCUCAAUACAUGACAUAAAUCUAACAACUAAACAAGAUCUUUGCUAGCAGGCUGAAAUGUGCCACUUAACCAAGUGUCAAACUCGACAAACCGAUCCUGGGAGAAGGAAACGUAAACAAAAAAUAACACACCAAAGAGAUCACACCCUCAAUACAUGACAUAACAUCCAACAACUAAGCAAAAUCUUUGCAGAAGGCUGAAGUAUACCAAAUAACCGAAUGUCAACAUCAACAAACCAAUCAUGUGAGGAGGAUACAUAAACCAGAAAUAACCUACAAAAAACCCUUAGACCGAAUAGCAUAUAUCAAAUACAUUUUUCUUUACACCUCAUUAUGUAUCAUAUAGAUUCUUACAAUGUAACAUUAAAGGAAAUAUUUUUGUCAAAAAUAUAAUAUUUGAUUUUUUUAUCAGCAAUAAAAAAUAAAUAAAUGGGAACCACUUCAGGGGUGGUCCAACCCUUAUACAUAAAGAGCUAGCGCCUUAUCAACCUCCAACCAAGGAACACCUUCCAACUUAAAUAAUGAACAACCAAACCAACUCAAGAAAGCAUUAAACAACCAACCUCAUACAAUCCACUGGCUUCAAAACCCAGUUGGGCUACGUAAAUGAAUUACAACAGGACUUUGCAAAAAUCCAAGACCAAACAUUUACCUGUACCAGUGCAAAUACCUCGAGCGCAUCUACCACGCCCCUGUCGAAGGUCACCGAGUUCCUAUGUCUCCAAAUUCCACUCACAACACCAGCCCAAACCGCCCCCUAAACGUCAUUAACCACAUCAGAAGCCGAACACAACCUGAAUUGUUGGAAGUUUACCAAAGGGUCCUUGUGAAUAACAAACGACACUCCAAGCCACUCAAAACAAAGACACCACACCCGCCAGGUAAACUCGCAGACGGAAAACAGAUGACUGGACGACUCUUCCACCUUCCCACACAAACCACACACCAGAUUCUCUACCACCACCCCUCGCCUUUCCAAAUUUACCCUAGUAGCAAUCUUAUUCUCCAUCACCCUCCAAGCAGUGACCAAAGCGGAAGGCAAAACUUUGCACCUCCACAACUUACUGUAAACUGGAGAAACCUCUCCAACUCUAUCCUUCCUAACCUGAAAAUAAGUUGAGUUAACCGUAAAAGUAUGAAACCCCCCUACCUUCCAAAUCCAGCAAUCUGCCUUCCCCGAUUCCAACUUCGCCCCUUGUAGUAACUGAAAGAACUGCUCCACCAGAGGUUUCUCCCAUUAAAAAAAGGGUCUACGCCAUUCAAAGUGCCACACCCAAACACCAUCAAUCAAAUUCCCUAGUUCAGCCACCUUUGCACCUUUUGUCACACUAAGAGAGAAAAUUCUUGGGAAAACACUCUUCAACGCUCCACAACUCAACCAACUGUCCUCCCAAAAAAGGAUAGCCCUCCCCUCACCAACUUCUCACUCAAACCCAUCUUCAAAACUUCUUCCCCAACCCUCUGAAGUCCACACCUCCUUCAAAUUUUUCCACCAAAGAGAGCCCCUACCAACUUUACCUUCCUCUCUCAAGCUUCUCCAUCCAUCGUACUUAGAAACGAGGAUCUCUUUCCACAGACCACUCUUAUUCGUAGCCAACCUCCAGAUCCACUUACCUAAUAGAGGCAAAUUAAACAACCUUAGAUCAAUAAUACCUAGACCCCCAUAGUCACAAGACUCACAAACCUUUUUCCGAGAGGCCCAAGCGAUCUUCCUAUCAUCUCAACCCCAUCCAAUAUUUGAUUUUAAAGAACUUAACAAACACACAUUUUAUUAAUACAUGUUUUUCCCUUGAACCUGUAGGUCGAAUUUUUAUCCUCGUAUUUAAGAAUCAUGGUUAUAUCUCUCAAUCAAUCAAUUUUCCAAUAUAUUACACCUAGAUUUUAAAUCUUAUAUAUGGUUCUUCACUAAUAAUGGCGUUUGACCCUUUGAGACUUGAGUAACUACAUGCAUGCACCCAUUCAUAUUUUUAUCGUGUUCUUCACAAAAUCCCAAUGGAUAAAACAAGUUGUAACAUUUAAUUAGAAUUCAUCUCUAGAGACUAUUAUUAAAUUGCCAACUUUCUAAAGAAUUUGACGAAUAUUUUAUUUUUUAAAUAAAUUGAUGUCAAUAGUGGAUGAUAGGGAUUCACUAAUGCUAAGAUAAGAUUCAUUAAUAUAUUGAUUGAUCAAAUACCUAUUCUAAGUUGAUUUUAAAGGAUAAAGGACCCUUCAAUCAAAAUCAAAUUAGGAUCUACCCAUCAUAAAAAUUUCUCACCAAAGUUGAAAAUACUCGUAAUUUGAAAACCACAUUAUUGUUUAUAGGUAGGUCGUAAUAUUAAAAGAAUGAGAAGGACCGAUUAUUUGAAUGCAAGUGGUGUUCUCUUUUUCUCCACUCCUGCACAUUUUCUUAAUAAACAUUCUUGUUCAUGCCAAAAUAAAAAUAAUUUUCUUCCAGCUGUAAUAUUUGACUAAUCUAGAAAAUUUAGGCCCAUAAUUUCUGCAGAAAAAUGAAGAACAAUUAGUCAGACACUGUAUAUUUUUCUAACUCACCAAUGAAUUUCAUUGAAAUUAAAGAACGUAGUCACAUCAAUCAAUCAUGGUUUGAUUAAAAGAAUUUGAUUAUCCACAAUUUUGAAAGGCCUAUAGAAAAAAUUACACCAGUUAUUACAUCAAAUUAAUAGAAAGACAGAGAAAACUAAGUAAACUAGUGAUAGCAAAAGUUUUUCACAAAACUGAAAUACUUUCACAAAGAAAUUUUAGUGAAAUAUUUUAAUAUUUUAAUUUAAUUUUAUAUUUUAUUAUUCAAUUAUUAUUAUUAUUAUUAUUCAAAUUUUAUUAUCUAAUUUUUUUCAUGAAUUUUAACAUCAAAAUUUAACAUUUUAAUAAAUUAAAUUUAUAACAUAUCAUGAUUUUUUUUAAAAUAGAAUAACAUCAAAUAAAUAUCAUUUUGCAAAAAUUAGUGUUAAAAACGCUAUUUUGAUAUUUUAUAAUAUUUUUUUUAUUAAUAAUAAAAUUAAUUAAAUUAAAAAUAAAAUGUUUUAAGAGUAUUCCAACCCAUAUACGGGUAUAAGAUAUAUCAUUACUUUAAUAAAAAAAUAGCAAAACAGUAGAAUUUAAAAAAAAUAAAACUUUGGUAAUAAAACUAUAAUAAUAAAAUUCAUAAAAUGAUGAUAAAUAAGUGAUAAAAUAUGCCAUCAAAAUCAAUACUUAUGAAGAUUGGAUUCUUCAUACAUGCAAGUGGUGGUAUUUGUUUCUUGAUAAUAGUGAAAGAAAAAAAGGAAAAAAAUCCAUUAUUUAUAUUAAGUUUAUAUUUUAUUAUAUCAUCUAUCCAAUUUCUUAUUUUCAUAUAUUUUUGUUAUCUUUCUUAUAUUUCAACUAUCCCACAUUCUUUUUCAACAUAUCCCAUUAAAUUAUUUGUUCAUUUGUCUUCAAUUGCACUAAGGUGUGGGGUUUGGGAUGCAAAAACUUUUUGUUUACUUUGUGAUUGGUCUGCUUUUAUCCAUGCAUGAAACUUCCUAAUCUUCUUUUCUACCAAAAAUCGACCUCAUUCGUUAAUUAACUUACUUUAUUUGACUCCAUUUUCAAAAAGCAGAUUAUGAGUUUGGCAAAGUAUAAUGCACAGAUUUCUUCCAUAGAAAUUGAGUUGGACGAAGUAAAACAAAUAUUUUUUUUAAAGUUCCUAAUUCAUCAUAAAUUGUAAAUAGCAUUUUCCUUUUAUUCCAUACAGUAAAGAAGGGAAAAUAAAUAUAAAUAUACAAGUUAUUUGAAUAAAAUUCUUUUAUAUUUAUUGAGAAAAAAUGUACUUUAACAAUUGCAUAGUUUAAGGCACCAAUUUAAUUUUUUUUUUUUAAAUUUCCGUCUCCAUUUAUUAAUGGUACGUUUGCUUUGAUUUGAGUCUCUGUCCUUUUUUUUCUUCUCAAAGAUACUAAUCCAAAUGAAUAAAAAUUUCAGAGAUUAAAAUUAAAAAGCCAUAUAUUACAAGAAUUAAAACAAAGUAUAAAGGCCUAAAAAGGAAUUAGUGUUCCCUAUUAUUAUAUAAAAAAAAAUACUUUUUAAAAAGAAAGAACAAACCAAAUAUAUAUGGGGAUCAUACUAUAUUUUAAAAAAAUUAUAGGAUAAAAAUGUUUUAAUCUCUCUAAAUUUGUCAAGGUUCAAUUUUAGUUCCUCUGCACUUUUUUAUUCUCUGUCACUCUAUAUUGAAACACGUAAUUUUUGGUUUCUUAAAUGAUUUAGAUAGCUGUUUAUUGAAAAAUGAAAAGUGGUGUAAAUAGUGUUUGAAAGACCAAACUCAAUUUAUUUUUGGAACAUAAAAGCACUUCCAUCAGUGCACUAUACUUAUAUGACGCGUUUUAAAUGAAAAAACUGCAAUAUAAUAAUUUAAUAUCUAGAGAGAUUUGAUUGGGGGCGUAUGUGUCAUAUGUGAUUGUUGAUAGGUUAUUUCUUCACUUGUAAAUUAGACACAUAAUUUUUUUAAAUCGGUUAUAGAAAUAUAUAUAUAUAUAUAUAUGCGUGUAUUUUUUAUUUUAAAUUAUUAAAUAUCUGAGUUAAGGUAUGUUAUAUUAUAAAUUUUUAUAUAAUUAUAAAUUUUUAUUACUAUUUUAUAUAAAAAAAAAAUGUAUAUCUUUUAAAUAUUAAUUUUUUUAUAAAAUCAUACUUUCUUUAUUUAAAUUUUACUUUUUUUUUAUAAAAUAAAUAUUUAAUAAAAUUUUGAAUAUAUAUAAAUAUAUUUAUUAUUCAGUAAAAACAAAGAUGAAAUACACAUUUUACACUUAUCAAAUGAAACAAGACUAGGUAUUAGAUUUUCUGACGAUAUUGAGUACAUUCAAAGAUCCCUCUUGUUAAGGACAUCUUUUUGGUGGUGUAUUAUAACAAGACUCUUUCUUCCUCCACCUCUGCCACUUCCAUACAUGGAAUAUGAAAAUACAUUUUUAUCUUUAUUGUGUCAUCCCAUAGAAUAGUUUUCGAAUUAUGUAUUAUAGAAACUCAUUUGAAAAAAUACUUCCGAAUUACAUAAUCUAGAAGUUAAAUAAGACUUCUGGAUUAUAUAAUCCGGAAAGUAAUCAUGCAUCCAAAAAAAAGUUCUAGAUUAUGUAAUCCGAAAACUAAUUACAAAUUUGAAAAAUAACUUUCGAAUUAUGUAAUCCAAAAUAUUAUAAAGGAGCAUUUUUGGAAAUUCGAAAAUUUAUGGAGGUGAGAGAAGAAGGUAUGGAGGUGCAGGAAUAAAUAGUCUUAUAACAAUUUAUGGAUUUAGUUAUUUAUUUGUUAUGGUUCCAAACUGGAUUCCACUUCUUUUUGGACUUUUACUUUUAAUAUGGGCCUCUUUGUCAUUGUGAGGCAUGGUCUAUUUCCUUCUGCACACCCAUAAUUUCAUGUGCAGAUUCAUGAGGUAGCUAAAAGACCAAACUAUCCUCUUAUUGCCCAAUCACCGUUUGUUGCCACCACCAUUCUUCAAUUGCCCUUUGACUAUGUGUCGUGCACAUAGAUUUAAGGAAGAAAGUGUUAUAAAUUAUGUAAUUUGUAAACUUUUUUGCUUAAUAUUUUAAAUUGUACAAUUAAAAAAAAUUGAUGCAAAUGUUUUUUGAAUUAUACGAUUAAAAAAUAAUUAUAAAGGUAAAGUAGUAAUUUUCAUAGAAUAAAUAAAAAAUUAUAGGGGUAGAAAAAAGCUUAAAUAAUGUUUUUUAACACAAAAAAAAUUGAAAUGAUGGUUUUUUUUUUCAUCUUUCAGCCCAUAUAGAACUAGUGACUACGAUGCUACAUGGGCGAUUUCUUUCUCCAUCUCCAUUCUAUCGUUAUGCACCUCCAUAAAAUACGUGAAAGGACUUUUUUUUUCAUCUUCUUUUAUAAGAUUUUAUUUUUAGAAAAAUUAAUUUAGGGGAGUAUCUUGUCCCAUUCUCAAUUUGGUCGAGGUUAUUAUUUUCAUAAUCCAACCGAAUUAAUAAAAAAAUAAUAUAAAUUUUAUUUAAAAACUAAAAUAAUUAAAAUCUUUUUUUUAUUUACUUUUUUUACCACUUUUGAUUUGAAUUUUAGAUCAAAAUUAAAAUUAAAACUAAAUAUAAAAGAACUAUUUUAUAAUAUUAUAUAUUUAAAGUUAAUUAACAAACCUAUAUGUGAUUGUGUCAAAUUUUGUUUAAAAUGAACUAUUUUACAAUAUUAGGUCAAAUUUAUAUUUAGUUCCCAAAUUGAAAAGUUAUUUUUUAACUAUUUGAAUUUAAAUUUAUUUUUAACCCCUCAAAUUUAAAAUUCAAUUGAUAUAUCUAAUUCAAAAUUGAAUGCAAAACUUCCAUUUCAUCAAACUCCUUUUAUUAAAAAAAACAAUUAGAGGGUGACAAGUUAAAUAAAUUAGGAAUAACAUCAAUAUUAACUAUUUUGUAUACACUACUAGAUAAUUAUUAAAUAAAAAUUAAUUGUAAAAAAAAAUUUGAUUACUAUAUUGACUAAAUUAGACAAUAUUUUAUAAUACAAAUUAUUAUUAUGUAAACUACUUUCUAAAUUUAUAAACUAGUUUUUAAAUUGGUAUUUGAUUAGUUAAUUGUUAUCUAAUUAAUUACCAAGAUUUUAGCUACCAAUUUUAGAAUCUAAAGUAGUUGAUAGCUAAAACCUUGAUAGUUAAUUAGAUACCAACUUAGAAACUAAUUUAUCAAUUUUAUUAAUAAUAGAAACUAAUUUGAAUAUCAAUAAUUUUUGUACUUAUUUAGGCAAAGAGGGUCUAGAUAGUAUAUGAGACUAGGCGUACAAUUGCUAACGUUUUGGUAAUCCUCUAGUUCCUUCUUUCGAGUCUUCUGCCACAAAUGUUGAUGCUCGGUCGGGAGGUUGACCUGAAAAAGAUAUUCCGAUGAUCAAGUAAGUACUCUGUAUUAAGAGUGUAUAUUGGUAAUUGAUAAAAGCGUACCUUACACAUCUGCAGAGGGUUUUAUUUAUAGUAUUGGUUAUGGGCCCUUGCCGUGAUGGACUGGACAUCGCUUAUUCACUGAUGUGCAUUGUGAUCCCUGAUUAAUAGGGAGGUUCAAUGGUAUAUAGGUAUGUUGGAAUAUUUGAAGAAUAUUUGUACCAUCUUUCAUUUAGUUAGUAUUGUUGAACAAGGUGCUUUGAUGCCUCCAAAUCUAUGUGGAAUGCUUGAAAACCCUGCUGAUGUGUGUCUGUUGUCUAGUAGUUUUUAACUUGUUAAUUCACUCCUUGAAAUGAUCUAAGCUCAUUUGAUCUUUAUCUCUUUUGAAAGAAAUGCUUUCUUAAAAGUUGAGAAAUUUUUAUUCAGUUGUUUUUAGUCGAAAAAGUUGCUACUCAAGAGUUUGAGGCUAAGACAAGUUUUUCAACCUGUUGAAUUGUCGAAACAACCUGUUGUUUGACACUUGGUGGUUUUCAAAAUGAUUCGAAUUUUUUUUGCUUAAUUUUGUCUUUGCUAUCUAACCGAAACAAUUGGUUAUUUCAAUAAAACAACUAGUUGUUUUUAUGAAAACCUUAACAGAAAAAUUAUUUCAGUCUAUUGUUUUGGAAAACAAUUUGUUGUUUUUAUAACAAAAUUAUGUUAUGUGUUUUAAAAUGUCUUAAAUGCUUCCAACUGCUUUUGGUUUCUGAUCUAACAACUUUGACCACUUGAUUGAGUUUAUAUAAAGGCUGUUUGACAUUCUUUUCAAGACUCUAAUAAAGAAAGAUUACUAAAAGCGUUUUUCAAGAAAUCAAGCUUUGAAUCAUCACUUGUAUGUGGAUAUACUUAUGUACUAUAUAUUUGUAAAGCCUAGAUGUAUUAUAUUCUCUUCUCUUUGAACAUUUUAUUUAUGUCUUUGUGUGUAAGGUAAUUUCAGAAAAGUGUUUCUAAAAACUGUGGUGCGUGUUCUUGAGGGGUUCAAGAUCAUACUCUUGGUGUGUGUUUUGUAAUCUAGGUUUGACUACAUAGUAAAUUCUUAGUGGAUAGCUGAGGACUGGAUGUAACUCUUGGUUAAGAGUGAACCAGUAUAAACUUCUUGUGUGAUUCUUUUUAUCUCUUCUCUUAUAAACUGUUUUUAACUUUGUUUUAUAUUUCAUUGCUAUAAACAACUGAAUGUUUCAUGAAAACAACAUGUUGAUUUUCUGUAAAUAACCUUAAAACAUAAAUUUUAUUGAGUUGAACAGAAAAUCAAUUGGUUGAUUUUUCAGAACUUUUCACUAUACUUCUAAUCUGUGCGAAAAUCUUGUGAAAAAAUUCACCCUCUCUUGUUUAAGCCACUAAUUCUAACAAGUAUUUAGUUGAUUUAUCGGAGAUACUUCCUGCAUAUUUUGGGAUAUGAAUUGUGACUCAUUAAGUGUUGUUGUAACUGUUGUUACUGUCUUUUAUUGCAUGCCUUGAGAUGUUCUUCGACUCGGUUGGUCGGUUGCCUGGCUCGUUCGGUCCCGAUCGAUAUAAUUUUGUUAUAAAAUAGUAUUCAACUUAGUUAAUAAAAUGAUUUUCUAGUAGCGAAAACAGUGAUAAAAAUAAAAGUAAAUUCUAAUAAUAGGAUAAAAGGAUUUUUUAACCUUGAAUAAUAUUUGAAGAUAAAUUUUUCCACAAUUUUGAACCUCCUAAAAUCUAGUGAAGUAAAAGAAAAUAUUGUAUUUGCAUAUUCUAGCCACAACCCAGUUCAAUCUGAAAAUAAAUAAAUAAAAAGUCAAAACUUCAUUCAUGACAAUUGACAUUGAGAUUUCAAAACAUCUAAUCUUUCAUUUUAGAAAUGUUCCGUUCUAUAGUUUCAGAAACUUGUGUUCAUAACUAUACAAUUAAAUUUAGAAACAACAAUUUGAGCAAAAGAUUAUUGAGUAGCAAAAGUAUUAAAAACAUACUAGCCACUACAAGAAAUUUGCUAUUUACAUACCGAUGAUUACAUACAGAUUCAAAUUCGUAUGUAAAUUGAGCAUUACAUACGGAUUUUACAUACAGAUUUGAAUCUGUAUGUAAAGUGACGUUACAUACGGAUUUUUACAUACAGAUCUGGAUCCGUAUGUAAAGUGAAAAUUACAUACGAAUAUGGAUCCAUAUGUAAAGUCAGCGUUACAUACGAUUUUUACAUACAGAUUUGGAUCUGUAUGUAAAGUGAGCAUUACAUAUGGAUUUUUACAUAUGAAUUUGUGUUAUAUGUAAUACCAAUUUUUCUUGUAGUGAGCCAAAAGUUAUAUCACCUAAAUCAAUCUUCUAGUUGGUUUUGGUGUCUUGUAUAACAUAGUUAAUUGAAGAGAAAAUUAAUUUACAGUGAAGAGUAGAUAAGUUUAGUUAUAGAAAUGAGAUUAAAAUAAAAUUGUUGUACAUAAAGAAUAUGAGUGAGAUAAAACGUAUGAUUGAAACAAACAGUUCUAAAAUAUUGAACAAAAACACUAUGACCAUUUGGAAAAUUUAUAAGAACAAGUUUGAUGCAAUAAAGAAAAACUCAGAUAAAGAAAUGAAGACAAGAUCAAUAGCACCAAAAUUAAAAAAUAUUUAGCACUUUUUAAAUUGUUAAAAAUGAAGAUGUUACUAGUGGGAGAAUUAUUUGACACUUGGUGAGGCAAAUUAGCAUAGAAGAAACCGACUUGAUUCACUUGUGCCUGAUGCAUAGAAUUGUUUUUGACACUUUUUUUAAGAGAUAACAGAUGUUCAUGCUAGGGAGAUAGACCUAGAAAACUAUUGAGAAGCUUCGUCUUUCUCCUUUCUAUCAGGCAGUUGAUCUACACUUCAGCUUACUCCUUCAGUCUUCCUACUACUUCUUUGGAUCUCAGUUGCUUGGUUACUUGAUCUCCUGACGAAUGUCGGAUGGGGGGAGGGGAUGUGUAUCUGCAGAAGGCACUCGGACGUUCAAGUCAGCAAAGGGUGUUUGACACUCGGAUGUUAGAUUACAAUAAUUAAUGAUGUACCUACUUCUUGAAAUGUGUGCUAUUUAUAUUAUUUUAAUGAGCUUACCUUAUUGGGUACCUAAUUCUUAAUGAUGGUUUAAUUUUACUGACCUUGAUUGAGCGUUAAUGGACCGAAGGUAUUGGUCGACUCGCAUGGACGUGUGUCAUUCGGUCGGCCUGGCCGUGGGAGCCGAGCCAUGUAUUGACCGUUUGGUCCAUACAAGUACAUUUGCCCCCAGGCUCGAGGAUGAAUUAAUCCGAAGAGUCUCAGUGCCGAGUGUCGGUCAGUCUUCUGAGUUUAAUGUGAUUGUUGGACUUCCCGAAGUCUGACAUGACUUCAGGCGGCGCCUGCAUGCGUGAUGUGACCCGCAUUGAUGAAAGAUUUUUUGGACGCAAAACGUUGCGAGCCAUUUGAUCUAAAAGAUCUAACGGUUCAAAUCGUUGUGAUGCUUCAUCUCUCAAAAUCCUUGGAGGUUAUAAUAUUCAAAAUUCAACUGAAUUAAUAAAAAAUAAUUUAAAAAUUUAAGAAUCACUAAUUUUUUAUUUUAUUUGUUUUUUCUUCCACUUUUGAUUUGAAUUUUAAAUUAAAAUUAAAAAAUCAAACUAAAUAAAACAAAACUAUUCUGUAAUGCUUAUUUAAAGUUAAUUACCAAAUAUACAUGAUUAUGUCACUUAAAAAUAAGUUAUUCUAUUUAUAAUAUAUUAUUUACAUUCCUUAAAAUAUGAUAACAAAUUUAUAUUUUAAUUUUUAAUCAUACCAUUAUGUUAUUUAUUUAUAAAUAUUUCGAUGAAGUUAAAAUUAUAAAGACUGUAAUAAUUAUAAAAAAAAUCAUAUUUCUUUAUUUAAUAAUUUUUUAUUAUAAAAUAUUUAACAGUUUUUUGAUGAAAUAUUUUCAAUAAUUUUUUGUUAAAAAUGUUUAAUAAAUUUACUAUAACAAAAAUUGAAAAAGUGGAUACAAUAUUAACUGUAAAAUAUUAAUUUGAUUUUUUUUAGUUUUACUGAUCAUUUAAUUAAAAAUUGAAUAAAAUCAAAUCACAAAAGUUGAUAAUAGAGAGACACCAUUUUGAAGAGAAGGAGAAAGAGAAAGAGAAAGAGAGAGAUGAAAUAUCGUUUUAUUAAGUAAAUGUAUAAAAAAACUUUUCACACAUUGGAAUUAAGAAAUGCAUAUAUCUAUACCCACCUAUAUAAAGGGUUCUUCGUUAUAAUUAUUUUUUAGUAGGGAUUCUUCAUUAUAAUUAUUUUUUAGUGUACAUAAUUUUUUUUCUGAUUAUAAAUUAAACAUUUUGUCAUUUUAUAUGAAUUAUUUAAAAAUAAAAUUAUUUUUUAAUUUUUUAAAAUUAAUAUUAAUGUACAUUUUUUAUACGCAAAUUAACUCUUCCACUUUUUUCUUAAUUUCUUAUUUUAAAGUAACAAUAGAAAGAAAGAUAAAGCAUACUCUCACCCAUUUUUACACAAAAUUCCACAUAUCAAAAUAAAAUAACCUCUACUUCUAAUCAUCUCUUCACUUCAUUAAAGCAGACGUGAACAUCAUCACACUCAAAACUGUCAAUGAAAGAAGGAAAAAGUUUAAAAAAGAAUAUAAACUUAAACUAGAGAAAAAGAAAAGAAAAAAUUGUUUAAUUAAUUUAUCAUUUUUCUUUUAUAUAUUAUUUUUUUUUUCAAUUUUAACUCAUCCAAAAUUAAUUAUAUAUGUAUUUAAAUUUCUAUCAUCAUAAAAAUUAUACAAAACACAAUAACACCUAUUUUCGCUAAUCUAUAUAUAAAGUUUACAUAAUCUAUAUUAAGUAUGUUAAUAAAAUAAUAUGUCUUUUUGUAUUGUUUAUACAUAACAAAUUAUGAAUAUUUUAUUAAAAUAAUAAAUAAAAUUAUUGUUUUUACUUAUUUUUUUUCCAAUAAAAUAAUUAUAUUUUUCUCCUCUUUUUCUUCAUCUGACCAAACGCACCGUCAGUGACCGACAAAACAUACAGUAAGUUGUUGGGUUGGAUUCAUCCAUUUGCGUGCCGCCGCUGACACCGUGGAUUGUGCGAAACAGUUACUGCAACUUACUUUUACUUGGGAACAGUGAUGAUUGACACGUGUAGCAUUACUGCAGCUCUUCACAUUAAUUAGCCAUGCAAGCAAUCAGAGACCCAGUGCAAAUCAUUGAAUUAUCUUCCAAACCUCAUGCCAAGUACCCAACGACAAUGUCACCAUCCAGCACAGAAGCACAUGGUCAUUCAAAUCAGCCCACCCACCAAAAUCAACCCACUUCAAUUCUCAUAAAGCACCAUCCUCAUCUUCUCUCCCACUCAACUAUAUAAACACCACACCUCAUCACUUCUCUUCACCACCCACAUCACAAAGCAACACCAAGAAGAUAUCGUAUACCACUUCUCUCCCCUUUUAGAGAAACAUUCUUUCUGCGACUAUGGCCAGCGUGAAGGUUGCAUGCGUGGUUGUAAUGUUCAUGGCUGUGGUGAGUGCACCUAUGAUGGUGCAGGCCGUUACAUGCAACGAUGUGAUAAUGCAACUCACACCGUGCCUACCUUACUUGAUGAAUGGUGGAGGGGCUUCAGCAGGGUGUUGUAGCGGAGUGAGGAACCUUCUGGGUGCUGCGGGAACCACCGCUGACAAACAAACUGUCUGCAACUGUCUCAAAAAUGCUGCUGGCAGGUUUAACAUCAAUGACCAGUAUGCUCAGGCACUCCCUGGCGUCUGCCAUGUCAAUGUCCCUUACAAGAUCAGCCGCUCGACCAACUGUGCAAAGUACGUUUAAACUCUCCAUGCAUCUCACUCACAGUUUCUCUAUUUUGACCAUUCUACUUUUCCCUCUCAAAUGGAUUCCUAACUUUUUUGUUGCUGUUAGAUAAGUAAGCCGUUUUGUUUAAGAUCAAAUCCAGUUCCACUAAGAUAGACCAAGUUGUCGGUAUCCGAACAUGUUUUACCCAGUAAAAGAUAAUUUAUUAACUGAUAUUCUGAAAUUUGUGUAAGUGAAAGUGAACACCAAACGAAAUGGUGG